GUAAUGCGCCUCUGUGACAGUUGAUACUGACGGAACAAUGGCUUCGUCGUCGUCUUCGGGGAUGGCGGAACGAUGAGGAAUACCGGGAGCUCGUUAAGUAGAGGAUUUUCAGACUUAUCUCUGACAGUCGGUUUCGAUGUCAGUUCCGAGCCUGUCUUCCUUCCAGAAAGAGGGAUCCUUUUUAUUUAUGAUGCUGUCUUGGUGAACCCGGCAUUCUUUUGGUGAACAAUACAACUUGGUUGAAAUGAAGCUUCUAGCUCAGCAAAGGGAUCUUCAGGUGCCAAUUAUAUUGUUAUCACGUUAUCACCCCUCCCAGAACUCCGAAGCAAACAAUACAUUUCUUAUCUUAAUAGCAGUGUCUACUGUCGCAUGAACUCUCUGUUUAGUGGUUUGAUUGAGGAGAAAAAGAGCUGAGCUUGAUUGGAGAAUUCAUAAGCUGCACUGAGUAAACCUAUGACUGCUAUAAGUACAAUUGUCAAUUUGUCAUUUGGAUGUCAACUAGAGCAUCAGAAGGCAUAUACCCGAGCUUGUGCAGAGGAGACUGAGUCGGUGUGUUUAUGACUUGUUGAAAAUGAUAUGUUGGAAAGUUCAUUAGAUAAGGUCCUCGAGCUUUAGUUUUAGAUGUUAUUACUAUCUUUUCCUUCUCAAUAUAUCACCCCAAGUCCAACAUCCCUACCACUUCAUUUCUAGUGGAGGUUACUUCUAUUUUACAGAAGAACCUGGAUAAUGCUAAAGCUUGUUUAGAAGUUAUUGUUGGUGACAUGCUGUUCUCAAUGGACCCGGUGACAGUAACUCAGGUCAGAUUGCCAAUUACCUGAGUGUUUGAGCCUAAAAUAUUUUGUCCGGAGAAGAAUCUCGAGAACACCAUCUCGUGGUCUUCUGGGCUUGAAAAGUGAAUAGGCCAAAUCCAUUUUUAUGCUAAAUUUCAACUUAAUGAUGAAGUAUAGGGUGGCAAAGGUCGAGUUCUCAACCACCUUGUCAUAGAGAUUGAAAUACCAUACCAAAGACCAUUGCACAUUCCAAAAGCAUGAAUGGUUACAAACUCAUAAUAUUUUAUUUAUAUAUGUGUAACGUAUGAUUCUCAUUUUAUUCAUUACGUCUUGAUGGUUUGGAAGCAAAAUAUUUUAUGAAAGUAAUUAUGUUUGAACUUGAUGUUGUAUUUUCAUUUUGAAAAUUGAGACGGAAAACUGUUAUAAAUGACGGGUGCAAAUAAUACCCAAUCCUUUUUUUUUUCUGUAUUCCUUUUCAUUUCCGUAUUUAGAAAGAAAACAUAUGAUUUACAGUCCUUAUGUUGGAUCUCUUACUUUCCCUUCUCCAUAUUUGUAUUGUACUCUUUUUUAAUGUAAAUUUUUAGUUACGUUUAUCAUGUAAACCUUACACAGGGUUCUUGAUGAUAACUAUUUGCAUUGCAAUUCUUGGUAUUUCAUGUAAAUUUGAUCAGGUUACAACUUGUCUCAUUAUUUGUGAUGUACAUCAACGAAGAAUUUGACAAGCUUCUACAGCUACAGUUACUGCUCGAGAAUCACAGAGAACGAAGUUAAUAAACACCUAUAUUCAAGUUGGCUCUUGAGAAUGCUAGUGGCAACCAUGUUUAAGCAAAUGCUGAUAUUCAGAGGGGACCCACAAAAGCUUCAGUUUGCGAAUGAAAUCUGUCGGCAACACUACGCAAGAUGAAGAUGACAAGCACUUCAAAAUCAUUUGUUCUCCAAUGAUGUCAUCUCAAUCUUAUCAAAAUGGUUUUAGAUGUAAAUGGUUUAUGAUAUAUAUAAUACUGUCAUUGUUCUUAGUCCGAAAUGAGAUGAUGCCUAGUCUAAUGCAUGAUCCAGUCAACCGGUCUACUCCUACAAUUUCUAGAAAGCAUCAUAAACAAUUGAAAAGUUGGCUAUUGAGAAUCUUAGUCUUUAAGGGAUUUGAUAUGUUUUAAUCUCACAAUUUCUUAAAAAAAAAAUUCACAUGUAUUGGUGCAUAAAUAUAAAAAGCAUCAUAAAUAAUUUAAGGUUGUCAUGAAAACAAUCUUGGUACAUGAAUAUUUUUCAAGAGUUGAAACAAUCAAGUUCUUGUUUGAUACACGAAAACCAUUGGAUAUGACAAUAGAAAGAAAACGUAAGUCCACAUCAUUUUAAAAUAGUGUUGUUCUUAUAUUGGAUAUCUCAGAUGACUUGAUGCUUUCUGGAACCCUGUUAUGAUGGUCAAGGAAACGGUAUACCAAAUAGCCGUUAAUUUAUUUUGUUUGAAUGUGAUGGUCUAAGUAUUAGCAUAUUAAAUUCAAGUGUUUUGAUUGUUACUUGAUAUCCAAGACACAGAAGAUGAAGAUAUUGAUGUGAAAAGGGCUUCUUGUUGAGCUGUGUUUGUUUGAACAGGCAAGAGCAAAAGGUUAGGUGGAGUUACACUAAUGAGAUUGUAUUAAAACAGGGCAUGGAACUCUGCCACAUGGGGACCCAUAAACGACGGUGAGUGUCUGCAUCUCAAAUCUCUGAAAAGUCAAAAAAGCAAUCCAAGCUUUUCAGAUAAAGCCUUAGUUCAAAGGAUGAUUCGAUGAGAGUCACUGGAAAUGAUUGAAGGGUUACAUAUUUAUCAUCAGAAAGUAAUUAAUAAUUAUUUUGCUAAAAAAAUUCGUCCUCAUAUACACCAAUGUAAUGGCAUAAAUGUGUUGCAAUUUUUUUUUUUUAUCAUCAUAUUGUACGUCUCAAACGUAUUCUAAUCAGUCCAAAAUGUUUCAAUUAAUCACGUCCACAUGACCUAAAGGCAAACUUAAUUAAGAAAGCCAUGUGUAAAACACAUAACAAGUCACAAUAUAAUUGAAGGAUGAAGUGACAUGAGAUUCAUUUAGUUGUGAAAGGAAAUUAUAGAGAACUCCGGAAUCAUUAUAGAAUUAUGAUGAACAAUAAUUUUCAUGAAUUUUUAAUUUUGGUAUGGAACAUUUAGGAGCAUUAACUUGCACGCAAUAAUAGGCAAGUAUAAAGCAGUGCUUUGUAUACGAAUAUUUGUU
Molecule: long non-coding RNA, 2989 nt
Organism: Prosopis cineraria
Lineage: Eukaryota; Viridiplantae; Streptophyta; Magnoliopsida; Fabales; Fabaceae
Exons: 6
Source: RefSeq, a predicted model, not a curated record